UCAUAAUCUGUUGCUGCACAAUUGUACAGUCUUUCCCAUGGAGAAUGAGUCCAGCAUCACCUCAGCAGGCCUGCUGCUACUUUGUUUUUACUGGGACUGCAGAAGGGCUUCUCAGAGUCAGGAUCUCUCAAAAUGAGGUUGCAAUGUCCUCUGGGAAUAGCCUGUCUGAGAUUCAUUUUGGAGGCUCACAGACCCAAGUUCCUACAGAGAGUUCUGAGUCAGUCCUUGGGCAGCACGUCACCACACUGUAUCCAAUGCAGCUUUCCUGAAUGUCAGCAAAAUGGGACAAAGAGAAUGAAUGAGAAGGCGCCAGGGCAGCAGGAUGAAGGGAAGCUCACCUGAGCCUUCGUAUCUGCACUGUCACCUGCCUGAGACCUGUCCUGCCCAACCCUUGCCAGCAGGGACGAGCUCUGGAGAGAAACUGUAAAAACACCUAAA
Molecule: long non-coding RNA, 438 nt
Organism: Piliocolobus tephrosceles (Ugandan red Colobus)
Lineage: Eukaryota; Metazoa; Chordata; Mammalia; Primates; Cercopithecidae
Exons: 3
Source: RefSeq, a predicted model, not a curated record